AUUCUUUUAGUAUUAUUAGUACAAAUGACUUCCAAUCAUUAAGUUCUAGACAACCUAGAAAAGAAUA
RNAcentral lists this transfer RNA (67 nucleotides) under Sphenodon punctatus (tuatara). Its description in RNAcentral is "tRNA-Gly". The record is from RNAcentral. Lineage: Eukaryota; Metazoa; Chordata; Lepidosauria; Sphenodontia; Sphenodontidae.